Molecule: ribosomal RNA, 487 nt
Filed under: uncultured bacterium
Lineage: Bacteria
Description: bacterial SSU rRNA
Rfam family: Bacterial small subunit ribosomal RNA
Source: RNAcentral
GAUGAACGCUAGCGGCAGGCUUAACACAUGCAAGUCGAGGGGUAACAGAGGUAGCUUGCUACUUGCUGACGACCGGCGCACGGGUGCGUAACGCGUAUACAAUCUACCUUGUACAGGGGAAUAGCCCAGAGAAAUUUGGAUUAAUGCCCCAUAGUAUUAUGAAAUGGCAUCGUUUUAUAAUUAAAGCUUCGGCGGUACAAGAUGAGUAUGCGUUCUAUUAGCUAGAUGGUAAGGUAACGGCUUACCAUGGCUACGAUAGAUAGGGGUCCUGAGAGGGAGAUCCCCCACACUGGUACUGAGACACGGACCAGACUCCUACGGGAGGCAGCAGUGAGGAAUAUUGGACAAUGGUCGAAAGACUGAUCCAGCCAUGCCGCGUGCAGGAAGACUGCCCUAUGGGUUGUAAACUGCUUUUAUUAUGGGAAGAAUAAGAUCUACGUGUAGAUCGAUGACGGUACCAUAAGAAUAAGCACCGGCUAACUCCGUG